CCCUUAGAUGUCCUGGGCCGCACGCGCGUUACACUGAUGCAUUCAACGAGCUUAUAACCUUGGCCGAGAGGCCUGGGCAAUCUUGUUAACGUGCAUCGUGAUAGGGAUAGAUUAUUGCAAUUAUUAAUCUUGAACGAGGAAUUCCUAGUAAACGCGAGUCAUCAGCUCGCAUUGAUUACGUCCCUGCCCUUUGUACACACCGCCCGUCGCACCUACCGAUUGAAUGGUUCGGUGAAGAUCUCGGACUUCGAUAUUUGUUCUUCAUUGAACUUAUAUAGUGGGAAGUUAUCUGAACCUCAUCAUUUAGAGGAAGGUGAAGUCGUAACA
RNAcentral lists this ribosomal RNA (327 nucleotides) under uncultured eukaryote. RNAcentral describes it as "partial 18S ribosomal RNA". It matches the Rfam family "Eukaryotic small subunit ribosomal RNA", at positions 1470 to 1796 of the family's 1831-position model. The record is from RNAcentral.